RNAcentral lists this ribosomal RNA (511 nucleotides) under Dacus humeralis. RNAcentral's name for it is "partial 16S ribosomal RNA". The stretch from base 387 to 511 matches the Rfam family "Bacterial large subunit ribosomal RNA", at positions 2473 to 2597 of the family's 2925-position model. Lineage: Eukaryota; Metazoa; Arthropoda; Insecta; Diptera; Tephritidae. The record is from RNAcentral.
GUCUUUUUGAGUUAUUUUUAAAGUCUGACCUGCCCACUGAAAUUUUAAAUGGCCGCAGUAUUCUAACUGUGCAAAGGUAGCAUAAUCAUUAGUCUUUUAAUUGAAGGCUGGUAUGAACGGUUGGACGAGGUAUAAGCUGUUUCAUAUGAAUUUAUAAUAGAAUUUUAUAUUUUAGUCAAAAAGCUGAAAUGUAGUUAAAAGACGAGAAGACCCUAUAAAUCUUUAUAUUUUGUGUAAUUUAAAUUUUUUUGAUUUGUUUUAUUUUUAUUAUAUUAAAUAUUUUGUUGGGGUGAUGUUAAAAUUUAAUGAACUUUUAAUUGUUUUAAAUCAUUAAUUUAUGAAUUAUUGAUCCGUUAAUAGUGAUUAUAAGAUUAAGUUACUUUAGGGAUAACAGCGUAAUUUUUUUGGAGAGUUCUUAUCGAUAAAAAAGUUUGCGACCUCGAUGUUGGAUUAAGAUAUAGUUUUAGGUGUAGCCGCUUAAAUUUUAAGUCUGUUCGACUUUUAAAUUCUU